Molecule: ribosomal RNA, 1448 nt
Filed under: uncultured bacterium
Lineage: Bacteria
Description: partial 16S ribosomal RNA
Rfam family: Bacterial small subunit ribosomal RNA
Source: RNAcentral
GAGUUUGAUCCUGGCUCAGAACGAACGCUGGCGGCAGGCUUAACACAUGCAAGUCGAGCGCCCCGCAAGGGGAGCGGCAGACGGGUGAGUAACGCGUGGGAACAUACCCUUUGGUUCGGAAUAACUCAGGGAAACUUGAGCUAAUACCGGAUACGUCCGUAAGGAGAAAGAUUUAUCGCCAAAGGAUUGGCCCGCGUCCGAUUAGCUAGUUGGUGAGGUAACGGCUCACCAAGGCUACGAUCGGUAGCUGGUCUGAGAGGAUGAUCAGCCACAUUGGGACUGAGACACGGCCCAAACUCCUACGGGAGGCAGCAGUGGGGAAUAUUGGACAAUGGGCGCAAGCCUGAUCCAGCCAUGCCGCGUGAGUGAUGAAGGCCUUAGGGUUGUAAAGCUCUUUUGUCCGGGAAGAUAAUGACUGUACCGGAAGAAUAAGCCCCGGCUAACUUCGUGCCAGCAGCCGCGGUAAUACGAAGGGGGCUAGCGUUGUUCGGAAUCACUGGGCGUAAAGCGCACGUAGGCGGACCGUUAAGUCGGAGGUGAAAGCCUGGGGCUCAACCCCAGAACUGCCUUCGAUACUGGCGGUCUUGAGUAUGGUAGAGGUUGGUGGAACUCCGAGUGUAGAGGUGAAAUUCGUAGAUAUUCGGAAGAACACCAGUGGCGAAGGCAGCCCCCUGGGCUAACACUGACGCUCAUGCACGAAAGCGUGGGGAGCAAACAGGAUUAGAUACCCUGGUAGUCCACGCCCUAAACGAUGUCAACUAGGUGUUGGGGAAGGAGACUUCUUUAGUACCGCAGCUAACGCGUGAAGUUGACCGCCUGGGGAGUACGGUCGCAAGAUUAAAACUCAAAGGAAUUGACGGGGACCCGCACAAGCGGUGGAUUAUGUGGAUUAAUUCGAUGCAACGCGAAAAACCUUACCUACCCUUGACAUGCCAGGAACCCUGCUGAGAGGCGGGGGUGCCCGAAAGGGAACCUGGACACAGGUGCUGCAUGGCUGUCGUCAGCUCGUGUCGUGAGAUGUUGGGUUAAGUCCCGCAACGAGCGCAACCCUUGCCAAUAAUUGCCAUCAUUCAGUUGGGCACUUUAUUGGGACUGCCGGUGAUAAACCGGAGGGAGGUGGGGAUGACGUCAAGUCCUCAUGGCCCUUAUGGGUAGGGCUUCACACGUCAUACAAUGGUACAUACAGAGGGCCGCCAACCCGCGAGGGGGAGCUAAUCCCAGAAAGUGUAUCGUAGUCCGGAUUGUAGUCUGCAACUCGACUACAUGAAGUUGGAAUCGCUAGUAAUCGCGGAUCAGCAUGUCGCGGUGAAUACGUUCCCGGGUCUUGUACACACCGCCCGUCACACCAUGGGAGCGGGUUCUGCCAGAAGUAGGUAGCUUAACCGUAAGGAGGGCGCUUACCACGGCAGGGUUCGUGACUGGGGUGAAGUCGUAACAAGGUAGCCGUA